This is a non-coding RNA of Aegilops tauschii subsp. strangulata, 974 nucleotides long. The record is from RefSeq and is a predicted model, not a curated record. NCBI's taxonomy places the organism in Eukaryota, Viridiplantae, Streptophyta, Magnoliopsida, Poales, Poaceae.
AUGCAUUUCCACAAUAAAGAUGGGAAAUGGAUACAUCGUUGUCGUCCUUCAGUGAGCAGCCGAGGAGGAGCUCCUCCAUGCUGAUGAUGUGGAAGACAGAUACCCUGUCCGCGACGCCUGGUUCUGGCCUCAUAUACAUUGACUUCCUAUGUCAUCAGCAAAUGCAGUGGAGAAGAAGCCGGUUCACCACAUGAUCAUUUAAUUUGUUAUUGUUUUUUAACUAUUCCCUGUUGCAUGUAUAAUCAGAAAAAAUAAAACUCCUCCUUUCGGCCCAUACUAGGAGUCUGGAAGUGAUACUUUUGUGAGGAGUGCUGGAACAUGACUGGAUCAAGCGAGACAGAGAACAAUGGAUGAAAGAAAGAGAUCAGAAAAGGGAUUCACUCCUGACCACCUCAUACAUAUAUACAUGUUAUGAAGAAAAGUUGCAGCUAUCCAUACAUCAUUAUUUAUGGCAGAAGGGAAAUCUACUGAAUCACAGUCACAUUUCCUAAAACUCUCGAAUUCCAACUUAACGGUGUUGAUGACCAUGAUGAAACUGUGAAAUAUUAAGCGGUACUUUUCCAUUGAUUUUUUCAUUCUCAUCGUAUCAUUGAUGUGACUGUGUGACUCAAGUUUUGAUUUCUCCCUCACCUUUUAAGUUCAAAGUAGUAUUCAGCAAGUUGUUGUGUCGAAUAUAAAUCUCUGAAACACUUGCUACAUAAAGGUUCAGUUAUAUCAUCAAUAAUGCCAAUGCUUCUGGCUGCUGUUGCUGGCUCCUAACAGCAAAAUCAAGUCUGGAAACACGUAUGGUAAUGGUGUAAAAAAAAUCGAGAGAGGUUUUGAGUAUGCUUUCUUAGCUAUGACACUUUGAUUUAGCUUACUUUGCUAGGAUACCAGAACUAGCACUCUACGAGUGAAAUAAUUUAUUUAUUUAGCACCAUUGUCAAAUUAUUACUUUGUAUUCCUGAAAUUUUAAUAUAACUGAAUGUGGUGAA